Non-coding RNA from Podarcis muralis (Common wall lizard), 953 nucleotides. Lineage: Eukaryota; Metazoa; Chordata; Lepidosauria; Squamata; Lacertidae. The record is from RefSeq and is a predicted model, not a curated record.
CUCGGCCAGUAAAACGAGAUGAGCGCCACAACCCCAGAGUCGGCCACGACUGGACCUAAUGGUCAGGGGUCCCUUUACCUUUACCAGCACAGAGUAGAAUUGUGUCCAGAAACAGAGCAGCAACCAGUGUAGCUUUUUAAGAACUGGCAAGGCCUCAGAAUUGGAACCAAGUUUGCAGUCCCAGAGGGACAUUGGCAUUAGGAAGAACUGAGAAAACAACUGUAAAGAAAAGCAAGGAAAGCUGGAAUGGAAAGAGGACUGAGUGAACUCAGAAGGAUGUGGCUCAGGCAGGCAUUUAAAGUUUACUGCUAUUUGGAUUAUUAACACAAAUUCUGAAGAUGUGGACAAGCAGGAAGCUGGACAAGCCACUCUGAAGAAGCAUUUAGGAAAGAUGGAAUCAUCAAGCAAGGCUGGCUGGUCAUUAACUACAUAAUCUCCUUAAAUUGUUCCUUAAGAUAAACUUAAGACACUGGCUUGGAACCAGAGUCAAGCUGCAGUCCACUUACCCGAGAAUUCAAAAGUACUUAUUUCUGAGCAUCUGUGGUUAGGAUUUUACUGCAAAUAACUUGAAUUUAGGGUGUCAUACACCACCACCCCUUCAUGGGGCAGCAGGGCCAUUGCUGCAUCCACAGGCCUGGGGGUGGGCAAGACAAUGAGAAGGGGCUAAGUCCAUAGAGCUGUACUGCUGAUAGGCAGAUACUCAGACAAUAGAAAUACAAUCGGUAGAGAGGGCUCUGUGUGAUGUCAUUUCCCCUGCCUCUUCUAGACAGAAAGGAGCAUACAGUACUUCCUGUUCCCCUCUCUCUCCCUUUGACCAUUGUUGGAUUCAAACAUGCCUCCCCUUGAUCCAACUUUAGGCACAUGCCCACACCCUCCCAAGUGUCCCUAUUUUCCAGAGACGUCCCUGAUUUAGAGAAGCCGUCCUGGUUUCUUAUUUGAUCCCGGAAUGUCCC